This 468-nucleotide ribosomal RNA is filed under the name Triticum aestivum (bread wheat). RNAcentral describes it as "partial small subunit ribosomal RNA". Lineage: Eukaryota; Viridiplantae; Streptophyta; Magnoliopsida; Poales; Poaceae. The record is from RNAcentral.
UUGGGAACCCCUUGUGAUGACAAAGACCGAGAUAUCUUUGUCGGGGCUACCAAGGUCCAAGUUGGGGAUGGCAUGUGUGUCAAGUUUUGGGAGUCUCCUUGGCUUGAUGGGAUUAGGCGCAAGGACAUAGCUCCCAAAAUCUAUGACCUGUCGAAGAAGAAGAAUUGCUCGGUUCGAUUGGCUCUGCACGAUAACUUCUGGACUUCCCAGGUGGACAUUCUUCAGGGUAUCAUUGUUGAACACCUUUCCGAGUUUGUCUCCCUUUGGGAGAGGGUCUCACAUGUCCAUCUUGACGUCAACACGCCCGACACUAUCACUUGGAAGUUCACUACUAACGGCCACUACUCGGCGGUGUCGGCCUAUAAGGCGCAGUUCUAUGGCCAUACUGACACGGUCAUGAUUCCGACCAUUUGGAAGAUUUGGGUGCCUCCUAAAUGCAAGUUCUUCGCAUGGCUGGUGUCGGUGUGA